Molecule: long non-coding RNA, 689 nt
Filed under: Capra hircus (goat)
Lineage: Eukaryota; Metazoa; Chordata; Mammalia; Artiodactyla; Bovidae
Description: lncRNA (ENSCHIG00000001435.1)
Source: RNAcentral
GCACCCUGGAGGACUGUGUGGCUUGGAGACCUACUGCUUCCAUAGCUCCAAGCUUUUCCACGAAGGAACGCACUCCACUUUGAAGAGACAAGCCACUGGAAUUGGGCUCUGCUUCUGCAAGCCUAGCAUUCUCCACCCCUGCCUGGUAGAGCUUGGCUCAGGCUUCCAUCCAAGACAGAAGCAAUUGAUUCGAAGUGCUAAUAUUCCCAGGAUUUUAAACAGUGGCAAAGCUCAUUGGUGAAGAAUACAGCUCUGGGUUCUUUUCCAGUUGUGAAGCAGCCAUCCGAUCUGUGGUCCACACAGUGUCGCCAGAAGUCACCACUGCCCGUUCCUGUUUAAAGAUCAAGCCAGGCUCCAGCUCAGUGCUUUGCUCCCUGGGUAUGUGGACAGAUGAGCCAUCCUGCAAGUGCGGGACUUUGAGUGACCUCCUGGCCUCUUCCCAUGAGAUGCCCCUCGUGCCGUCAGCUCUGGUUGUAACCAACAGCCAUAGCUGCCCAUGUUGCAAAACGUCCCUUGUUCCUGAAUUGAAACCACUUGUCUAGCUUGAGAUUUUCGCAUAAUAACAAAUUGUCUAACAUCCUGCUGGGAGUUCUUUUCACGUGGACUCAUUAAAGAGAUUGUAAGUGAAAGCAGAUGCAUAAAUACAAAAACCUAUGAUUUUCUCCAAAAUAAAUAAAUCCGGGUCUACG